UUGAACGCUGGCGGCAGGCCUAACACAUGCAAGUCGAACGGUAACAGGAAACAGCUUGCUGUUUCGCUGACGAGUGGCGGACGGGUGAGUAAUGUCUGGGAAACUGCCUGAUGGAGGGGGAUAACUACUGGAAACGGUAGCUAAUACCGCAUAACGUCGCAAGACCAAAGAGGGGGACCUUCGGGCCUCUUGCCAUCAGAUGUGCCCAGAUGGGAUUAGCUAGUAGGUGGGGUAA
This 235-nucleotide ribosomal RNA is filed under the name uncultured bacterium. RNAcentral's name for it is "partial 16S ribosomal RNA". It matches the Rfam family "Bacterial small subunit ribosomal RNA", at positions 30 to 260 of the family's 1533-position model. The record is from RNAcentral.